AACGGUCUAUACCUGCGGUACCUGCGGAGGGAUCAUUAAUGAAACUCAAGUCGGCCCUCUGUGCUGGUGGCAACACAUGUGCACGUCGGUCGCAAAUCCACACACCUGUGCACCUUUGACUUUGGGAUCCGCCGGUCUUAUGGACUCGCAGCAGGCAGGCUUUGUGCUCGCCUGGGUCUCAGAGUAAUUUUUACAUACACCUGAAUGUAAUGGAAUGUCUCUGUGCUUAAUGCGCAUUUA
This 240-nucleotide unclassified non-coding RNA is filed under the name soil metagenome. Its description in RNAcentral is "partial contains 5.8S ribosomal RNA, internal transcribed spacer 2, and large subunit ribosomal RNA". The record is from RNAcentral.